Gorilla gorilla gorilla (western lowland gorilla) is the source of this 934-nucleotide long non-coding RNA. RefSeq lists it as uncharacterized. NCBI's taxonomy places the organism in Eukaryota, Metazoa, Chordata, Mammalia, Primates, Hominidae. The transcript has 3 exons. The record is from RefSeq and is a predicted model, not a curated record.
CUAAGCUGGAAGAAUAUGUGUGAAGCUGCCAACGGUCUUCCCUGUUGCUACAUGGAGACAUAGCAGCUUGGCAAUGAAGUCAAUACUAAGGAUAGCAGAGUUUAUGGGGAAGGAGGAGAAUGAGAGAGAAAAUGAUGACACUGUUUGUGGCUUUUGAUCCAGCUGUUCUUAAAAGUAAUCAUCCGCGUUGAACUUCCUGGUUUAGGUUUUGGCUGAAGCAUGAAGAUACAUCUUUCCUUAUGAAUGUCUUCCAGAAAAUAAAAGCAGUGGGGACCUAACUUAAAGGCAGAAGAAAUCAGAGAGAAGGAUGGAGUGGGGAAAAGAAGAGGGAGGCUGACAGAGAAGCUUAAAGAAAUGCUUUCAGAUGGCAACAAAAGCCAAAAUAGAUAAAUGGGAUUUAAUUAAACUAAAGAGUUUCCGCACAGCAAAAUAAACUAUCAUUAGAGUCAACAGGCAACCUACAGAAUGGGAGAAAAUUCUCGCAAUCUACCGAUUUGACAAAAGGCUAAUAUCCAGAAUCUACAAAGAAUUUAAACAAAUUUGAAAGAAAAAAAACAACCCCAUCAAAAAGUGGGCAAAGGAUAUGAACAGACACUUCUCAAAAUAAGACAUUUAUGCAGCCAACAGACAUAUGAAAAAAUGCUCAUCAUCACUGGUCAUCAGAGAAAUGCAAAUCAAAACCACAAUGAGAUACCAUCUCACGCCAGUUAGAAUGGCGAUCAUUAAGAAGUCAGGAAACAACAGAUGCUGGAGAGGAUGUGAAGAAAUAGGAACGCUUUUACACUGUUGGUGGGAGUGUGAAUUAGUACAACCAUUGUGGAAGACAGUGUGGUGAUUCCUCAAGGAUCUAGAACUAAAAAUACCAUUUGACCCAGCAAUCCCAUUACUGGGUAUAUACCCAAAGGAUUAUAAAUCACGCUACUACAAAGACACA